Mirounga angustirostris (Northern elephant seal) is the source of this 141-nucleotide small nuclear RNA. RefSeq annotates it as U4 spliceosomal RNA. The record is from RefSeq and is a predicted model, not a curated record. Lineage: Eukaryota; Metazoa; Chordata; Mammalia; Carnivora; Phocidae. The transcript has a single exon.
AGCUUUGCGCAGUGGCAGUAUCAUAGCCAAUGAGGUUUAUCCGAGGCGUGAUUGUUGCUAAUUGGAAGUCAUUAAGUCAUCUGUGUGGACAGUCCACUUACCUGGCUGUCCACCUGACAAACUCUCUUUAACCCUACAAGA